RNAcentral lists this ribosomal RNA (454 nucleotides) under uncultured bacterium. Its description in RNAcentral is "bacterial SSU rRNA". It matches the Rfam family "Bacterial small subunit ribosomal RNA", at positions 340 to 786 of the family's 1533-position model. The record is from RNAcentral.
UACGGGAGGCAGCAGUGGGGAAUAUUGCACAAUGGGCGAAAGCCUGAUGCAGCUAUGCCGCGUGUAUGAAGAAGGCCUUAGGGUUGUAAAGUACUUUCAUCGGGGAGGAAAAACAAAACUAAUAAUUUUAUUUCUUGACGUUACCCGAAAAAGAAGCACCGGCUAACUCCGUGCCAGCAGCCGCGGUAAUACGGAGGGUGCAGCGUUAAUCAGAAUUACUGGGCGUAAAGAGCACGUAGGUGGUUUUUUUAAGUCAGAUGUGAAAUCCCUGGGCUUAACCUAGGAACUGCAUUUUGAAACUGAAAUACUAGAGUAUCGUAGAGGGAGGUAGAAUUCUAGGUGUAGCGGUGAAAUGCGUAGAUAUCUGGAGGAAUACCUGUGGCGAAAGCGGCCUCCUAAACGAAUACUGACACUGAGGUGCGAAAGCGUGGGGAGCAAACAGGGAUUAGAUACC